Molecule: RNA transcript, 2553 nt
Organism: Onychostruthus taczanowskii (white-rumped snowfinch)
Lineage: Eukaryota; Metazoa; Chordata; Aves; Passeriformes; Passeridae
Gene: CRABP1
Gene name: cellular retinoic acid binding protein 1
Exons: 7
Source: RefSeq, a predicted model, not a curated record
AGAGCAAGGAGGUCCCCCCGAGCCCCCUCCAGGCUGAGCCCCCACAGGGCUCUCACGAUCCCUUGUGCUCCAGAAAGGAAGUUUCCCUGCUAAUCAUCUGUGUCAGAUCAAAAAAAAAGCCUGAUGCACUUUCUGGAUGAAGGGUAUUUUGAAGGCUCCCUCUUGGUCCUCAUGAAACAGGUCAAUGGUCACGGUGCAACACGUAGAACGCGCAUCCUGCAUCUUAGAGACAUCCAGAUCACAUCUGCUGGAAUAGUUCUUGUUUGUAUCAGUGGGUCAGCAAACAAAAGAGCUUAAAUGGUCCUUUAAAGAAGAAAUUGUCCUUCCUUAAAAUCUUCUGAGCCGAUUUAUUUUCUCAUGUAGAGAUAGGAGUUCCCAUCUGGUUUGUGCUGCUCAUACUCAUUGUCAUAGGUAGCUAAGGACUUUGUCCUGCAAAGAAUGAGCCAUAACACUUCCACUGGGCUCCAGAAUCUAACAAGUGAAGAAUAAUUGUGAAUGGACCAUGAAGUUGGUUCAGCAAAGGUUUUCCUAUAAUUAAAAUACAUCUGGCUCUGUCCUGUGUGGGAAAUCACAGGCCUCUGAAUGUUUUGACUAUUUCCUUAAGCACAACAGCAGCAGAAAAACUCCAUACACUUUAACCUGUCAAAUUCUGUUCCAUUUUAUCAUGUGGAUAAAUCAGCUGCAAUAAGGAACUUUAAUCUAGCAUCUUUGAUCUGAAGCUGAGGGAUUCAAAGCAAAGACAAUGGAAAUGGUCAUGGAAAGAAAGUAUGAGGGGCUCAGAACAGCAGUCUAAUCUUCAGCACACUAGUGCUAAUUUAAGUAAGUGUAAAACAGCUUGCUGUGUUUCCCCAUAAAACUUGUGACUGCCACGGCGUUGUUCUUCCUGAUGGCAGUUCUGCACCUUCAUCCUCCUGCUGCCAGCGGAGCGACAGAGCCCUGGGAACUGUGGCGGGGAGUGCUUUAGGCGCUGUGUAUCUCUGUCCUUCACCCUCUCGAAGGGGAGACUCGGCUCAGGGCAGUGACAGCUUCUUUUCAACAGUUCCUUCUCCUGGAAAGUGUUCUGCUCCCUGCCACCCUUUAGACCUGCUGGCUGUCCCAGGGAGCAGUGCUGGGGGCAGGUUGGCAGCUGGGAGGCCCGUGCAUGCAGGGGCUCGGGGUGAGGUGUGAUGGGCUGCUGUGCCUCGGCCCUGCCGUGCUGGGGUCAGCCCAGCGUGAGCCUGGAGAGACUGGCGCCUGCUUGGAUAGCUCUCUGCCUUCCCUGCCUGCCUCUGGGGCUUUUCAUCAAGUCCUCACUGUCCACCUCAUUUGUCGGACAAGUGGCAAUCGGGCUCUCGUUCUUGGGCAGCUGUGGAGCCUGCAAGGCAGGCGGCAGACGGUGAUAGAUGGAGAGGGCAGGAUGGAUGGAUGGAUGGAUGGAUGGAUGGAUGGCCAUAAUUGGGAGGGGGCCGGCUGUCUGGCGGUGUGAUGCUGGCCCGAGGGAAGGGGUGGGGGACCGGGUGGGUGUGCCCGGCUCUCCCUGCCGCUGCCGCCGCGGUCCGCCCCACUCACAAGGUGCCUGAGCCGGAGAGCGAGCAGCAGCGCCGCGUCCCCGCCGCCCCUCCGCAGCGCCCGUCCCGCCAUGCCUAACUUCGCCGGCACUUGGAAGAUGAAGAGCAGUGAGAAUUUCGACGAGCUGCUCAAGGCGCUGGGUGUCAAUGCCAUGCUCAGGAAAGUGGCGGUGGCAGCCGCCUCCAAACCUCAUGUGGAGAUCCGCCAGGACGGGGACCAGUUCUACAUCAAAACUUCCACCACUGUCCGCACCACUGAGAUCAACUUCAAAAUCGGGGAGCGCUUUGAGGAGGAGACGGUGGAUGGACGAAAGUGCAGGAGUUUGGCCACUUGGGAGAAUGAAAACAAGAUCUACUGCAAACAAACUCUUAUUGAGGGAGAUGGUCCCAAAACAUACUGGACUCGAGAAUUAGCUAAUGAUGAGCUGAUUUUGUUGCUCUGAUGCAACUUCACCGUCAAAUAGCCAGGACUGCUCAUUCUCUUUUCACUUGGAACUUCUACUGCUUUGGGUCAUGGAAAUCUUUAAAGUCUGCCUAUUGGAACAGGAACUAUCACUUCUUUUGUGUCUAGAAUUAAAACCAUAGACACUAAACUGCUUUAUCCUACCACCAAAUAAAAGGAUUUAAAUGUGAAGAAUAGAGGAAUAACACCCUUUGGAUUUGGAUCCUCCCCUGACCUUACCUUUGGUGCUGAUGAUGUUGUGUGCACAAGAAUUUAUGUAAGAGAAUAAAAGCAUCAAUUUACUUGUCAUCUGGGAUGAAGUGGAGAGCUGUGAAAAUCCCCAGUGUAACGAGUAUCUGUGUGUGCUGUUACUAACAGUGUUGUAUGUGACCGUGUGUGUUCUAUCCGAACCCAGAUCCUCUAGGUGUAUUUUGCUUUCAGUUUUCAUUUCAGACACUAUUCCUUUCCACUUUUAUGCCAUCAAUUUUCAUGUCUGCUUUGUAUUUUGUAGUUGUCACUUGCUAUGGUUUCCUCAGUUAUUAAACUUGUUGGGCAUAACUCACA